RNAcentral lists this unclassified non-coding RNA (200 nucleotides) under soil metagenome. RNAcentral's name for it is "partial contains internal transcribed spacer 2 and large subunit ribosomal RNA". The record is from RNAcentral.
GCUGCUGUGUAUCAAAUGGCUCGUCUGAAAUGCCUGAGUGUACCCUGCUUUUUGUGGCGUAUUCGGUGUGAUAAAUCUUCACCGGAGUUGAUCUUUGGAUCACGUCUGCUUAACAUGGCCCUAUGCUUCAAACUGUCUUUAACCAGACAAUACUCUGACAAUUUGACCUCAAAUCGGGUGGGACUACCCGCUGAACUUAA